RNAcentral lists this ribosomal RNA (443 nucleotides) under uncultured Cryptanaerobacter sp. Its description in RNAcentral is "bacterial SSU rRNA". It matches the Rfam family "Bacterial small subunit ribosomal RNA", at positions 338 to 795 of the family's 1533-position model. Lineage: Bacteria; Bacillati; Bacillota; Clostridia; Eubacteriales; Desulfotomaculaceae. The record is from RNAcentral.
CCUACGGGAGGCUGCAGUGGGGAAUCUUCCGCAAUGGGCGCAAGCCUGACGGAGCAACGCCGCGUGAAUGAAGAAGGCCUUCGGGUUGUAAAAUUCUGUCUUUGGGGAAGAAAAAAAUGACGGUACCCAAGGAGGAAGCCCCGGCUAACUACGUGCCAGCAGCCGCGGUAAAACGUAGGGGGCAAGCGUUGUCCGGAAUUACUGGGCGUAAAGGGCGUGUAGGCGGUCACUUAAGUCAGGGGUGAAAACUGUGGGCUCAACCCACAGCCUGCCUUUGAAACUGGGUGGCUUGAGGACAGGAGAGGGGAGUGGAAUUCCCAGUGUAGCGGUGAAAUGCGUAGAUAUUGGGAGGAACACCAGUGGCGAAGGCGGCUCUCUGGCCUGUUUCUGACGCUGAGACGCGAAAGCGUGGGUAGCGAACGGGCUUAGAUACCCGGGUAGUC